RNAcentral lists this non-coding RNA (28 nucleotides) under Mus musculus (house mouse). The record is from RNAcentral. Lineage: Eukaryota; Metazoa; Chordata; Mammalia; Rodentia; Muridae.
UUGAUUGGCAGGAUCAAUAUAGUAAAAA